Molecule: microRNA, 22 nt
Filed under: Eisenia fetida (common brandling worm)
Lineage: Eukaryota; Metazoa; Annelida; Clitellata; Crassiclitellata; Lumbricidae
Description: Efe-Mir-193-P2d-v1_5p* (star (passenger))
Source: RNAcentral
CGGGGUUUCUCUGAGCAUUUUC